CGCCGCUGGCGAGGCUGGUACCGGUGCCGCUGGCGCUGGCGCUGGCGCUGGCGGGGCUGGUACCGAAGCCGGCACCGGUGGC
This 82-nucleotide transfer RNA is filed under the name Streptomyces hydrogenans. RNAcentral's name for it is "tRNA-Ala". The record is from RNAcentral. Lineage: Bacteria; Bacillati; Actinomycetota; Actinomycetes; Kitasatosporales; Streptomycetaceae.